GGCUGAUUUUGAAUUUGCAAUCCUCCCACCUCAGCCUCCCAGAACGCUGGAUGACAGAUUUGGCUGCAUUAUUGGGGUGCUUUGCUGACAGUAGCUUCGGGCAGGAAGGAGACGGCCUACCAAAGAGCAGAGAGCUCUGGUGAAAGAAGGGAGAGGCCUUCGUCCCGGUGCCACCUCAGGAGAGGCGCUCCCGGCCGCCUGACUCGCCACCCCAGUCCUCUGCACCCCGGUGCCCAGCUCGCUGCUCCAUCACCCUGCUCAUUUAUCUGUGCGCGCCUGAGUGUCCCGCCGCACGCCGUCUGCUCCCGUGUACCCACACCUGGCCCUGCACCCCGGACAGGUAGGCUUGCCGUGGACAGUGCCCAGUGAAUGCAUGCGACUGGAGCUCACGUACCCAAACCC
RNAcentral lists this long non-coding RNA (402 nucleotides) under Fukomys damarensis (Damara mole-rat). Its description in RNAcentral is "lncRNA (ENSFDAG00000032388.1)". The record is from RNAcentral. Lineage: Eukaryota; Metazoa; Chordata; Mammalia; Rodentia; Bathyergidae.